Molecule: ribosomal RNA, 318 nt
Filed under: uncultured eukaryote
Lineage: Eukaryota
Description: partial 18S ribosomal RNA
Rfam family: Eukaryotic small subunit ribosomal RNA
Source: RNAcentral
CCCUUAGAUGUCCUGGGUCGCACGCGUGCUACACUGAUGCAUACAGCGAGUACUUUCCAGCUCCGCGAGGCAGCUGGUAAUCAGCAAUAUGCAUCGUGCUGGGGAUAGAUCUUUGGAAUUAUAGAUCUUGAACGAGGAAUUCCUAGUAAGCGCAAGUCAUUAGCUUGCGCUGAUUAAGUCCCUGCCCUUUGUACACACCGCCCGUCGCUCCUACCGAUUUCGAGUGAUUCGGUGAACCUUUUGGACAGCGUCUGUCCUCGUGUCAGAUGCUGAAAGUCAAGUAAACCAUAUCACUUAGAGGAAGGAGAAGUCGUAACA